UACGAAGGGGGCUAGCGUUGCUCGGAAUCACUGGGCGUAAAGGGUGCGUAGGCGGGUCUUUAAAUCAGGGGUGAAAUCCUGGAGCUCAACUCCAGAACUGCCUUUGAUACUGAGGAUCUUGAGUUCGGGAGAGGUGAGUGGAACUGCGAGUGUAGAGGUGAAAUUCGUAGAUAUUCGCAAGAACACCAGUGGCGAAGGCGGCUCACUGGCCCGAUACUGACGCUGAGGCACGAAGGCCAGGGGAGCAAACGGG
RNAcentral lists this ribosomal RNA (253 nucleotides) under uncultured bacterium. Its description in RNAcentral is "partial 16S ribosomal RNA". It matches the Rfam family "Bacterial small subunit ribosomal RNA", at positions 524 to 776 of the family's 1533-position model. The record is from RNAcentral.